AGUGGCGAACGGGAGAGUAACGCGUGGGAAACCUGCCCUUCAGCGGGGGACAACAGUUCUAACGAGCUGCUAAUACCGCAUACAAUCUAACUACCGCAUGGUGGUUUGAUGAAAGAUGGCCUCUACAUGUAAGCUGUCACUGAAGGAUGGUCCCGCGUCCCAUUAGCUUGUUGGUGGGGUAAAGGCCUACCAAGGCGACGAUGGGUAGCCGGCCUGAGAGGGUGUCCGGCCUCACUGGGACUGAGAUACGGCCCAGACUCCUACGGGAGGCAGCAGUCGAGAAGCUUCGGCAAUGGACGAAAGUCUGACCGAGCGACGCCGCGUGAGCGAUGAAGGCCUUCGGGUCGUAAAGCUCUGUCAGGAGGGAAUAAAUACCUAUGGUUAGUACCCAUGGGGGCUGAAGGUGCCUCCAGAGGAAGCGCCGGCUAACUACGUGCCAGCAGCCGCGGUAAUACGUAGGGCGCAAACGUUGUUCGGAUUCACUGGGUAUAAAGGGUUCGUAGGCGGGCUAUUAAGUCAGAGGUGAAAGCCACCGGCUCAACCGGUGAAUUGCCUCUGAUACUGUUAGUCUUGAGUCCGUUAGGGGGUGGUGGAAUUCCUGGUGUAGCGGUGAAAUGCGUAAAUAUCAGGAGGAACACCAGUGGCGAAGGCGACCACCUGGGACGGUACUGACGCUGAGGAACGAAAGCAUGGGUAUCAAACGGGAUUAGAUACCCCGGUAGUCCAUGCUGUAAACGAUGGGCACUAGGUGUCGGAGGAGCUUACCCCUUCGGUGCCGCAGCUAACGCAUUAAGUGCCCCACCUGGGGAGUACGAUCGCAAG
Molecule: ribosomal RNA, 822 nt
Filed under: uncultured Planctomycetota bacterium
Lineage: Bacteria; Pseudomonadati; Planctomycetota
Description: bacterial SSU rRNA
Rfam family: Bacterial small subunit ribosomal RNA
Source: RNAcentral